AGCGAACGCUGGCGGCAGGCUUAACACAUGCAAGUCGAGCGGACCUUUCGGGGUCAGCGGCGGACGGGUGAGUAACGCGUGGGAACGUUCCUUCCGGUUCGGAAUAACCCUGGGAAACUAGGGCUAAUACCGGAUACGCCCUUAUGGGGAAAGGUUUACUGCCGCACGAUCGGCCCGCGUCUGAUUAGCUUGUUGGUAGGGUAAUGGCCUACCAAGGCGACGAUCAGUAGCUGGUCUGAGAGGAUGAUCAGCCACACUGGGACUGAGACACGGCCCAGACUCCUACGGGAGGGAGCAGUGGGGAAUAGUGGAAAAUGGGGGCAAGCCUGAUCGAGCCAUGACGCGUGAGUGAUGAAGGCCUUAGGGUUGUAAAGCUCUUUUAUCCGGGACGAUAAUGACGGUACCGGAGGAAUAAGCCCCGGCUAACUUCGUG
Molecule: ribosomal RNA, 433 nt
Filed under: uncultured bacterium
Lineage: Bacteria
Description: partial 16S ribosomal RNA
Rfam family: Bacterial small subunit ribosomal RNA
Source: RNAcentral